GUUGACCAAACCCAUUAUACAAGUAGUGCAAAACAACAUCUGGACUUCCAUCUGUUGCAGUGGUUCCCAGCCUUGGGUGACCCAAGUGUUCUUCAACUGCAACUCCCAGAAACCCCAGCUAGUAGUGAAGACUUCCAGGCAUAGCAGUCCCAGAACAUCUGGGGUCACCCAAGGUUGGGAAUCUAAUAUAUUGGAUUAGAGGACGAGAACAGUAAGAAAGUGGUGGAAAAGAAGAGAGAUAUGUCAGCUUUGUUGAUCCGUCAUGUAGUCCUUUCACCCAGGAGGCAACGGCGCUUUUAUUCAAGUGCACUUUUAAGCAAUUAAGGUGGAUUGCUAAGAGAGAAGUUUUUCAUAGGGUGACCGAUUCCUUUUUCUUCCAUUGAUGUACUUUUAAUAUUUUAACUUGCCUUUAUUUGAUUGAAUCAUUAACUUUGGAAGCCAGUACUUUGGUAGAAAGGUGGGAUAUAAAUAGGUAAAGGUAAAGGUUCCCCUUGACAUUUUCAGUCCAGUCGUGUCCAACUUUAGAGGGCGAUGCUCAUCCCACUUUUCAAGCCGUAGAGCCAGCGCCUGUCCAAAGACAGUUUUCUGUUGUCACGUGGCCAGCUUGACUAGGGAACGCCGUUUUACCUUCCCACUGAGAAGGUACCUAUUUAUCUACUCGCAUUUACAUGCUUUCGAACUGCUAGGUUGGCGAGGAGCUGGGACAAAGCGACGGGAGCUCACUCCGUUGUGUGGAUUCGAUCUUACGACUGCUGGUCUUCUGACCCUGCAGCACAGGCUUCUGCGGUUUAGCCCACAGCGCCACCACGUCCCUUGGGAAAUAAAUAUAUAGUAGUAAAUAACACCAGACUGGCUACACUCGAAGAACAGGAUAUGCUUGGUUUUUUUGUACGGAAUCUGAUGUUGCAAGGGCAGGACUUUUUUCUUCACUGCUUCAUUAUCUCUGCAGCAUAAAAGAAAAGGGUGAAGAUGCAUGCAAGGAGCUGCUGGAGGCUUACCUCUCCUGUCUACGUGCACUGGGCACAGCCCACCCAGAUCUAGAAGCCAGGUCCACGACGUCAAGUCAUUGAAGAUCCUCUAUGGCCAAGUCUCCGGGUUUCUCACAAUUAUUCCAUGGCACUCAAGGAGCAAAGGUCCAGAGCGGGAUUUGCCCAGGGCUGGAUGCUACGCUCCCUGCAGGCACUGAGGCAAGGGAGUUCCGUGUGCAAUAAAGCCCUUUGCAUUUUACUCA
Molecule: long non-coding RNA, 1231 nt
Filed under: Pogona vitticeps (central bearded dragon)
Lineage: Eukaryota; Metazoa; Chordata; Lepidosauria; Squamata; Agamidae
Description: lncRNA (ENSPVIG00000008647.1)
Source: RNAcentral